Molecule: non-coding RNA, 45 nt
Organism: Schistosoma curassoni
Lineage: Eukaryota; Metazoa; Platyhelminthes; Trematoda; Strigeidida; Schistosomatidae
Source: Rfam
AUACAGCUGACGAGUUGGAAAUAAGAUGAAACGCUCGUUUUGAAU